AUUGAACGCUGGCGGCAGGCCUAACACAUGCAAGUCGAGCGGAUGAAGGGAGCUUGCUCCUGGAUUCAGCGGCGGACGGGUGAGUAAUGCCUAGGAAUCUGCCUGGUAGUGGGGGAUAACGUCCGGAAACGGGCGCUAAUACCGCAUACGUCCUGAGGGAGAAAGUGGGGGAUCUUCGGACCUCACGCUAUCAGAUGAGCCUAGGUCGGAUUAGCUAGUUGGUGGGGUAAAGGCCUACCAAGGCGACGAUCCGUAACUGGUCUGAGAGGAUGAUCAGUCACAGUGGAACUGAGACACGGUACAGACUCCUACGGGAGGCAGAAGUGGGGAAUAUUGGACAAUGGGCGAAAGCCUGAUCCAGCCAUGCCGCGUGUGUGCAGAAGGUCUUCGGAUUGUAAAGCACUUUAAGUUGGGAGGAAGGGCAGUAAGUUAAUACCUUGCUGUUUUGACGUUACCAACAGAAUAAGCACCGGCUAACUUCGUG
RNAcentral lists this ribosomal RNA (484 nucleotides) under uncultured bacterium. RNAcentral describes it as "partial 16S ribosomal RNA". It matches the Rfam family "Bacterial small subunit ribosomal RNA", at positions 30 to 507 of the family's 1533-position model. The record is from RNAcentral.